RNAcentral lists this transfer RNA (72 nucleotides) under Peptoanaerobacter stomatis. RNAcentral describes it as "Eubacteriaceae bacterium ACC19a tRNA". It matches the Rfam family "tRNA". From Rfam's summary of the family: Transfer RNA (tRNA) molecules are approximately 80 nucleotides in length. Their secondary structure includes four short double-helical elements and three loops (D, anti-codon, and T loops). Lineage: Bacteria; Bacillati; Bacillota; Clostridia; Peptostreptococcales; Filifactoraceae. The record is from Rfam by way of RNAcentral.
GCAUCUAUAGUUCAAGGGAUAGAACGCUCGCCACCGAAGCGAGAGAUAUGGGUUCGAGUCCUAUUAGAUGUG